GAUGAACGCUGGCGGCGUGCCUAAUACAUGCAAGUCGAGCGAACAGACGAGGAGUUUGCUUCUCUGACGUUAGCGGCGGACGGGUGAGUAACACGUGGAUAACCUACCUAUAAGACUGGGAUAACUUCGGGAAACCGGAGCUAAUAUCGGAUAAUAUAUUGAACCGCAUGGUUCAAUAGUGAAAGACGGUUUUGCUGUCACUUAUAGAUGGAUCCGCGCCGCAUUAGCUAGUUGGUAAGGUAACGGCUUACCAAGGCAACGAUGCGUAGCCGACCUGAGAGGGUGAUCAGCCACACUGGAACUGAGACACGGUCCAGACUCCUACGGGAGGCAGCAGUAGGGAAUCUUCCGCAAUGGGCGAAAGCCUGACGGAGCAACGCCGCGUGAGUGAUGAAGGUCUUCGGAUCGUAAAGCUCUGUUAUUAGGGAAGAACAAAUGUGUAAGUAACUAUGCACGUCUUGACGGUACCUAAUCAGAAAGCCACGGCUAACUACGUG
RNAcentral lists this ribosomal RNA (497 nucleotides) under uncultured bacterium. RNAcentral's name for it is "partial 16S ribosomal RNA". It matches the Rfam family "Bacterial small subunit ribosomal RNA", at positions 28 to 507 of the family's 1533-position model. The record is from RNAcentral.